Molecule: transfer RNA, 77 nt
Filed under: Chitinophagaceae bacterium
Lineage: Bacteria; Pseudomonadati; Bacteroidota; Chitinophagia; Chitinophagales; Chitinophagaceae
Also listed under: 1 other name
Description: tRNA-Arg
Rfam family: tRNA
About the family: Transfer RNA (tRNA) molecules are approximately 80 nucleotides in length. Their secondary structure includes four short double-helical elements and three loops (D, anti-codon, and T loops). Further hydrogen bonds mediate the characteristic L-shaped molecular structure. tRNAs have two regions of fundamental functional importance: the anti-codon, which is responsible for specific mRNA codon recognition, and the 3' end, to which the tRNAs corresponding amino acid is attached (by aminoacyl-tRNA synthetases). tRNAs cope with the degeneracy of the genetic code in two manners: having more than one tRNA (with a specific anti-codon) for a particular amino acid; and 'wobble' base-pairing, i.e. permitting non-standard base-pairing at the 3rd anti-codon position.
Source: RNAcentral
GGUUCGGUAGCUCAGCUGGAUAGAGCAACUGCCUUCUAAGCAGUAGGUCAUUGGUUCGAAUCCAAUCCGAAUCACAA